This 148-nucleotide ribosomal RNA is filed under the name uncultured bacterium. Its description in RNAcentral is "partial 16S ribosomal RNA". It matches the Rfam family "Bacterial small subunit ribosomal RNA", at positions 1385 to 1532 of the family's 1533-position model. The record is from RNAcentral.
ACACACCGCCCGUCAUACCAUGGAAGUGGAUUGCACCAGAAGUAGAUAGUCUAACCUUCGGGAGGGCGUNUACCACGGUGUGCUUCAUGACUGGGGUAAAGUCGUAACAAGGUAGCCGUAGGGGAACCUGUGGCUGGAUCACCUCCUU